This 549-nucleotide unclassified non-coding RNA is filed under the name Pomacea canaliculata. RNAcentral's name for it is "uncharacterized LOC112566481, transcript variant X3". The record is from RNAcentral. Lineage: Eukaryota; Metazoa; Mollusca; Gastropoda; Architaenioglossa; Ampullariidae.
AGCUAAAUCAGGAUGGGCCGGAACGAUGAGUGGUCAUAGCGUGACACUUCGUGACUGAAACAGAUCGCAUUUUUCACAUACACCAGCACUAUAUAACCCAGGGUUCUAGUUAGAGACACAAGGUUCUCUGUUGACAAGGUUAGCUCCCGUAACUUCCGCCGAGCUUCAUCAUGAAGGUUCUGUGUCUCCUGGUUCUCGUGGCUGCCGCCUAUGCUGCCCCAAGGGAAAUGAACGAUGCCGAGAAACGUGUCUUUCUGGACACUUUCAGCCAUCUCUUUAACCUCGACACCCUGAAGUCAACCUUCUGCGGAAUCGUGGCUCUGGGUGGAAGUUCCGAUACCGAGACCCAGUGCGAGUCUCUGUGCCACCAGGUGCUGUCAGGUGAAACAGUAGCUCAGAACCUUCUACACAGCGGAUGUCCUCUGAUCUGUAAUUCGUUCCAGUCUCUAAUCCAUCUCAUCCCGUGCGACAAAAUACUCGGCGUCACACCCUCCGCCUGAACAUGUCACUACAGGCAAUGUAAAUAAAGACUGGUUACUAUAAAAUCUU